Molecule: ribosomal RNA, 427 nt
Filed under: uncultured bacterium
Lineage: Bacteria
Description: partial 16S ribosomal RNA
Rfam family: Bacterial small subunit ribosomal RNA
Source: RNAcentral
UGGGGAAUUUUGGACAAUGGGGGAAACCCUGAUCCAGCCAUCCCGCGUGUGCGAUGAAGGCCUUCGGGUUGUAAAGCACUUUUGGCAGGAAAGAAACGUCAUGGGUUAAUACCCCGUGAAACUGACGGUACCUGCAGAAUAAGCACCGGCUAACUACGUGCCAGCAGCCGCGGUAAUACGUAGGGUGCAAGCGUUAAUCGGAAUUACUGGGCGUAAAGCGUGUGCAGGCGGUUCGGAAAGAAAGAUGUGAAAUCCCAGAGCUUAACUUUGGAACUGCAUUUUUAACUACCGGGCUAGAGUGUGUCAGAGGGAGGUGGAAUUCCGCGUGUAGCAGUGAAAUGCGUAGAUAUGCGGAGGAACACCGAUGGCGAAGGCAGCCUCCUGGGAUAACACUGACGCUCAUGCACGAAAGCGUGGGGAGCAAACA